Scomber japonicus (chub mackerel) is the source of this 225-nucleotide long non-coding RNA. RefSeq lists it as uncharacterized. The transcript has 4 exons. The record is from RefSeq and is a predicted model, not a curated record. Lineage: Eukaryota; Metazoa; Chordata; Actinopteri; Scombriformes; Scombridae.
UUUUCAGAUAAAUAUUACCAUUUUUAUGCAAUCUGCUUUGGACUGGGAUGUGGAGUAGCGCUCUAUAGGCCCUUUCGUUCUCUUGUACUUCCAUUAGUUCUUUCUGUGGUUUUCACCAUAAUAUUUGAGGUUUUUGGCAUGACGUGUGGCCUACCAGCCCAUACAAAGAAAUGCAAAGGCUGUCCAUAUGAGAGAGGAGAUGUUUGCUGGGGAUUUUGUUUUGCA